AUACGGAGGGUGCAAGCGUUACUCGGAAUCACUGGGCGUAAAGGACGCGUAGGCGGAUUGGAAAGUCAGAUGUGAAAUCCUACAGCUUAACUGUAGAACUGCAUUUGAAACUUCUAAUCUAGAGUAUGGGAGGGGGAGAUGGAAUUAGUGGUGUAGGGGUAAAAUCCGUAGAUAUCAAUAGGAAUACCGAAAGCGAAGGCGAUCUCCUGGAACAUAACUGACGCUAAGGCGUGAAAGCGUGGGGAGCAAACGGGAUUAGAAACCCUAGUAGUCC
RNAcentral lists this ribosomal RNA (274 nucleotides) under uncultured bacterium. RNAcentral describes it as "partial 16S ribosomal RNA". It matches the Rfam family "Bacterial small subunit ribosomal RNA", at positions 523 to 796 of the family's 1533-position model. The record is from RNAcentral.